Molecule: long non-coding RNA, 3701 nt
Organism: Physeter macrocephalus (sperm whale)
Lineage: Eukaryota; Metazoa; Chordata; Mammalia; Artiodactyla; Physeteridae
Exons: 5
Source: RefSeq, a predicted model, not a curated record
GCCGCGGAGCGACUGGGCCCGUGAGCCAUGGCCGCUGAGCCUGCGCGUCCGGAGCCUGUGCUCUGCAACGGGAGAGGCCACGGCAGUGAGAGGCCAGCGUACCGCAAAAAAAAAAAAAAAAUCAAAACCAGGGUAGAAGUGACAGAAGAGCUAUUUGUGACGCUGGGCCUGAGCCAAGCUGAGAGCCUUUCCCUUUGCUUUUGUUUUGUACCCUUUUGCUGUAGUAAAUUGUAGCCAUGAAUACAACCAUACGCUGAGGUCUAUGAGUCCUCCUAACAAAUUAUUGAACCCAGGGACGGUCUUGGGGACUCUCAACACAGGGAAAUCUUAAGACAUCGCUGUUUUAGUCGCUUCUUAGGCUGACUCCUGUUUGGGUGCAGUACUAGGAUGAGAGGUUAGAAGCUUGAGAUAAGACGUCAGCAGGGUUGGUUCCUUCUGAGGACUGUGAAGAAGAAUCUGUUCUAGCCUCUCUUCUAGCUUCUGGUGAUUGUUUGGUGAUCUUUGGUGUUUCUCUGGUGUUUUUUCAUCACCCUGCUCUCUGCUAUCAUCUUCACAUGACUUCUCCCUGUGUGCAACAUGUGUCCAAGUUUCCCCCUUUUUUAAGGACACCAGUCAUAUUGGAUUAGUGGCCCACCCUAGUCCAGUAUGUCAUCAUCUUUAAUUAUACCUGCAAGGACCUAUUUCCAAAUAUGGUCACGUUCUGAGGUACUGGGGGUUAGGAUUUCAACAUAUGAAUUUGGGGGGGGGGACACAACUCAUAACACAUGUGAAUGUGGUUAUGGUAAAUGGCCUUGUGUGAGAGAUUUACCCUCUCUGGACCUCAGAUUCUGCAUUUCUUAGGAAGGGUGAUUGUUACUGCUCUUGCUUCCUGAGUCUCCAGGAGACGAAGGAGGGGACCUGUCCUAUUCAAUAGGCUGAGAGGGAAUCAGGUCCAACCUCACUUUUUCUGUCUGGAUGAGAACCUGGAUGCAGGACUGUCUCCAUCAGUGCUGGUGGUGGAAAGUCCUUUUUUCUCACCCAACUCCAAUCAUUGUAUUAAUACAUAAGCUAUGCUUCAUUACCAGCUUAGCAGCAGCUACCCACCAGCCACCAGUGGCUCCAUCCCCAUUGCUAGGAUGGCAUAGCUCCCACCCCUCACCCUCCCAGUACCCGAGCAGUUGCAGGUUUUCCCAUCUAGCUCCAUAUUCUCCUUCUGAUUUAGUGGCACCCUGGCUAACUGAUGACUCCAGUCUCCCUUUCCCAGGCCCUGCCUUGUUCUCCCAAGACUAAUAAGGGGCAGAGCUAAUGUUUUUAGCCCAAGCCUCCACACCAACCCCAGACGAGGGGUACAUAACUGCACACUCAACAAUUCCUCUUAUCACAUGUCCUAUUAGAUCUGAAACUCUCCAAUAACUGUAUUGUCAAAGCUGUACAUGACGUAUUCCUAAUUCCUAGAAUGGAAUUCACUGAAAUUCUACUUUCAGAGCAGUACAUUUGCAUAGCCAGUGAACCAACCAUAGAAACAUUCUGGCAGUGAUUGAGCUCACAAGUGAGUACUAACAGAUUCUUACAAUGUAUUUAAUAAAAGCUAGUGGACUGCGUACUCACAGACAAGCUUUCAGGGUCAUGAAAGCAUGGGCUGAGAGGGACCUUGAAAGGAAAAGAAGACUAGGUAUAUGAUGUAAAGAAAGAAAGAGAAGAUCAGUGUGAAGUUUAAUUUCAUGUGUCAACUUGCCCAGGUUAUGGUACCCAGUUGUCCGGUCAAACACUCGUCUCGAUGUCGCCGUGAAGAUAUUGUGUAGAUGUGGUUAACAUUUAUAAUCAGUUGACUUUAGGUAGAGAAGGUUACCCUUGAUAAUGCUUCAUCAAAUCAGUUGAAUCUCUUAAAAGCAAACUCUAAGUUUUCCCGGAAAAUAAGGAAUUCUGUCUCAAGACUGUAAUGUGGAAAUCCUGCCAGAGUUUCCAGCUUGCCCUUUGGACUUCAGACUUGCCAACACCCACAAUCCAACUCCAGAUUAGGAGAAAAUACAUUCUCUGCAUUGUAUAGCAUAAAACAGCUCAGGACUGUUCCGGAAGAAGAAAUUACUUUGAUGCUGAGUGAAGCACAAAACACAGAACUGGAGGCAGAGGUGCAAAUAAGAUCUGUUAACAAGGACUGAGGAGGACCAAACUCAUUGAAAACCACGAGGCCUUGCAGCUAUGAAGGGGUAGAGCUGGACUAGAACCUGACUACAAUAAUCCACCUCUUUCCUGCUGCAUAUGGAAACGUUCAACAGUCAGCAAAGAGGACAUCUGUUAGCUUCGGUUUGGUCAAUCAGUGUCAAUGUGUAAAGGGAAAUCAGCAUGUGGCACAUAACUUGCGGAAAUGUUGCUGUAACGUUAAGUUAAAUUUCACCUUUGAGAAAGAAGUAAUGAAGGGCAUGGAAAAGAUUUUACUCCUUUAUAUCAAUCCUGAACACAUAGAAAUGGAAAUUACAACCAGUUACAAUGACACACUAAAAGACUUGGCCUUUAAAAAAAAAAAAAAGUAUUAGUUUGUCCUGGAGAUUAAAAGCUGGAAAGAGAUGUAGUGUUCCGUGAUACAAAAAUUAGACUGUAGAGACUUGCUGAUAUUUUAAAUCAUCACCCCAUUCCCCCCGAAAAGGAGGAAUGGUAACACACUGUGUUUACAACUACAGAGGUGAAUUGAAAACACUUAACCUGGAACUUUCUGCUCUGACUCUCUCCAAACAUCACAUAUCCUUUAAAAUUGAUGAAUUGGCUUACUGUGGUCUUGUCUAAAAGCAGAGGUCUAUGAGUUGAGUUCUUUCUGUGUUGGUGCCGAUGCUACAUGAGAGCUAGAAGGAGCCAGGACAGGCUCCAAGGGCCCUCUUUUUGUAGAGGACAGUACUAUGGCCCCAAACCCUCCCAGGAACCUCCUGUCAUUCCAAAUCUCUUCUCUCCUAACACUCCUCAGUUAGGCAUCAUUCACUCAGUCCUGAAAACUACCGGGUAUUCCAGGGAAGGACAGUCAGGGAAGCAGUUGCAGUCACCUUUGCACCACAGCUGCGUCUAAGAGCCCUAACUUCCGGGUUUAAGUCCUGUACCUCGUCCUUGUCUCGGUCUCUUUCCUCGCUCCUGUCCCUGUAUCUUACUAAAAGUGAAAAAUAUAAUGUCCUCUUAACUGGCUAAGGUAGAAAUGAGACAAAACCACCACCAUAACGCAAAUGAACUGAUUAUUAUUUAUUAUUUUAAAUUGUGGUAAAGUACACAUAACAUAAAAUUUACCAUCUUAACCAUCUUAAAAUGUACAGUUCAAUGCAACCAUCACCACCAUCCGUCUCCAGAACUUUUUCAUCAUCCUAAAAUGAAACUCUAUACCUAUUUAAACAAUAACUCCCCUUUCCCUCUAGCCCCUGGCAACCACCAUCUUACUUUCUGACUUUAUGAAUUUGACUACUCUAGAUGCGUCAUGUAAGUGGGAUUAUACAGUAUUUGUCCUUUUGUGACUGUUUCACUUAACGUAAGGUCCUCAAGGUCCAUCUAUGUUGUAGCAUGUGUCAAACUAUCCUUCCUUUUUAAGGUUGAAUAAUAUUCCAUUGUAUGUAUAGACUACAUUAUCCAUUCAGCCACUGACAGGUGAUUGGGAUGCUUCCAUUUUUCGGCUAUUGAACUGAUUUUUUAAGUCCUGCAUUUGAAUAAAAAUUGUAAAGAAACUUUCAAAGUACUUUUCCAUAGAUGAU